RNAcentral lists this ribosomal RNA (253 nucleotides) under uncultured bacterium. Its description in RNAcentral is "partial 16S ribosomal RNA". It matches the Rfam family "Bacterial small subunit ribosomal RNA", at positions 524 to 776 of the family's 1533-position model. The record is from RNAcentral.
UACGGAGGGGGCGAGCGUUAUUCGGAAUUAUUGGGCGUAAAGGGCGCGUAGGCGGCUUGACAAGUCAAAGGUGAAAUCCCUCGGCUCAACUGAGGAACUGCCUUUGAAACUGUCUGGCUUGAGUCCGGGAGGGGGUAGCGGAAUUCCCAGUGUAGCGGUGAAAUGCGUAGAUAUUGGGAGGAACACCAGUGGCGAAGGCGGCUACCUGGACCGGAACUGACGAUGAUGCGCGAAAGCGUGGGUAGCAAACAGG